GCCACUCAUGAGCCAGGUUGUUGAUAUGCUUUCGAAGAACGUCCGGCUUAAUGAGAUGCUACUUUCACCACCAGGUUUCUUCCAAGAUUCAAUUGGCCUCAGUGGGCCACCAUCUUCAACUAAAAAGUCAUCUGCCGACUCUACUAGCAACCAGAUGAGCUCUUUUCCUGUCACAAUCACUGAGGUAACCCCUAGAUGAAGAACAUUCUUUUAAUUGCUAUCGACACUCAAGUAUUGGUAAGAGCUCUCAGCUGGAAAAUGGGGAAAAAAAUUAGUUCCUAGGCACAUUCAUGUAUUUUAUCCCUCGCAUUGCGUUAGGUAAAUCAUAUACAGGUUUUUCUAUCUAUAGGGAAAGUGAGCGUAGUUAAACACAAUUGAAGUGGCGAAUUUAUCUUCUUGUUGAAGGAGGUGAUGUGUGGCAAUUAUUUAUAUGUUUUUUGUAAUUGUUUUUCUUGUCAUGAUUGGAUGGAAGUGUUAUAUUUAUAAAUUUUAUAAUGGAAAGGUUUGUUUUGUAUUUCAAAA
Molecule: unclassified non-coding RNA, 522 nt
Filed under: Hevea brasiliensis (rubber tree)
Lineage: Eukaryota; Viridiplantae; Streptophyta; Magnoliopsida; Malpighiales; Euphorbiaceae
Source: RNAcentral